AUACAAACUCAUACUGCAGAGACUUCAUUAGCAGUAUAAUGCAGCUUAAGGUGGACAGACAGGAGACGUGCAAUGCUAUAGUCACAAAGGCUGAUCUAAUCUACAUAAAUGUGGGUGGCAGGCUAUCGAAAGGGAGGGGAGAGACUAUAUUUCCUCUGUUCAUACAGUAGCCAUUUUCCAUUGAAAUGUUUUGCCCAGUUCUUGCAUGCACAGUUCAGGAAGGAUGUCAGAAAAUAGGCUACAGAUCAGAAAAGGACUACACAAACAAAGAUUUGGAAAACGUGUCAGUGAAAGACAUGGAAGGUUAAUCUACUCUAUGGAAGAAAAAGGACCUCUGGAUUACCACAUACAAUUUCUUGCACAAAGUACAGAAAUUUCUAACACACAAAAGCGUAUGACUCCACAGCUAGGAGGUAAAGGGACUUGAGAGGGUUCAAGAAACAAACUCAGAAGACCAUUUAUCGCUGCAAGCCAUAUGGGCUUUGAGAGAGGCAAGACAAUAGAUGAAAAAAAAGAAGCCAGCAGAAAUAAAUGCAUUCAGAUAUGCA
RNAcentral lists this long non-coding RNA (548 nucleotides) under Struthio camelus australis. RNAcentral's name for it is "lncRNA (ENSSCUG00000008122.1)". Lineage: Eukaryota; Metazoa; Chordata; Aves; Struthioniformes; Struthionidae. The record is from RNAcentral.